RNAcentral lists this transfer RNA (83 nucleotides) under Caudoviricetes sp. RNAcentral describes it as "tRNA-Leu". It matches the Rfam family "tRNA". Rfam says of the family: Transfer RNA (tRNA) molecules are approximately 80 nucleotides in length. The record is from RNAcentral. Lineage: Duplodnaviria; Heunggongvirae; Uroviricota; Caudoviricetes.
GCGGAUGUGGUGAAAUAGGCAGACACGAUAGUCCUAGGAACUAUUGCUUUAGCGUGCAGGUUCGAUCCCUGUCAUCCGCACCA